UGAUUCUUCGGAUGAAGUCUCUUGUGACUGAGUGGCGGACGGGUGAGUAACGCGUGGGUAACCUGCCUCACACAGGGGGAUAACAGUUGGAAACGACCGCUAAUACCGCAUAACCCGCUGGUGCCGCAUGGCACUGACGGAAAAGAUUUAUCGGUGUGAGAUGGACCCGCGUCUGAUUAGCCAGUUGGCAGGGUAACGGCCUACCAAAGCGACGAUCAGUAGCCGGCCUGAGAGGGUGAACGGCCACAUUGGGACUGAGACACGGCCCAGACUCCUGCGGGAGGCAGCAGUGGGGAAUAUUGCACAAUGGGGGAAACCCUGAUGCAGCGACGCCGCGUGAGUGAAGAAGUAUUUCGGUAUGUAAAGCUCUAUCAGCAGGGAAGAAAAUGACGGUACCUGAUUAAGAAGCCCCGGCUAACUACGUGCCAGCAGCCGCGGUAAUACGUAGGGGGCAAGCGUUAUCCGGAUUUACUGGGUGUAAAGGGAGCGUAGACGGUGAUGCAAGUCAGAAGUGAAAGCCCGGGGCUCAACUCCGGGACUGCUUUUGAAACUGUGUGACUGGAGUGCAGGAGAGGUAAGCGGAAUUCCUGGUGUAGCGGUGAAAUGCGUAGAUAUCAGGAGGAACACCAGUGGCGAAGGCGGCUUACUGGACUGUAACUGACGUUGAGGCUCGAAAGCGUGGGGAGCAAACAGGAUUAGAUACCCUGGUAGUCCACGCCGUAAACGA
This 727-nucleotide ribosomal RNA is filed under the name uncultured bacterium. RNAcentral's name for it is "bacterial SSU rRNA". It matches the Rfam family "Bacterial small subunit ribosomal RNA", at positions 69 to 809 of the family's 1533-position model. The record is from RNAcentral.